CCGAGUGCAGAGCCAGGGCCCAGCACGAAGGCCUUGGGCUCCAGUCCGUGUGCCCCACAUCCCUACAUGAGUGAGGGUGGAGGGAUGGUGCCUCUGCCACGGCCACGGUGCCGCCGUCCACGUCAGCUCACUCUCAGCACAGGUGCUGUGUGACGGCCUCGGGCCACACCGCUUGUUCUGAGGCCCCUAGCAGGUCGGGCUUGUGCUGGCUGCACAUUGGCUGGUGAGCUUGGCGGGUCUGUGGGCACGGAGAGACCAGAACGUGCGUAACAGGCCCGAUGAGGGUGCCAGGCUGUGGCGACCCCCGAGCUUCAGAGGAGAGGGGCACCAGCCGGGGGCCCUGCACAGGCAGCCUCAGAGAGAGGAAAGCUCACGAUCUGGGAGAACUCCAGGCCUGGCCCAGUGAAGACGUCCUUAUCUUCAGCAGACAUUGCCCAGUGCAAGGGGAGCCCCAGACUGACUUUCUGAGGUCACAGACGGAGCCUCACCCCAUCCAAGGCGGUGUCCUGGACUCCCACUGUGCUCCCCAGAGGGCAGGGUACCUGGGGCCCAGCCCGGGCGGCAGGAGGGACUCAGCCCCUCGCCCAGGCAGGAAGGGUCCCAAGCAGAGGCCCCUCCCUCAGGCACUCCCCAGCCCACACCUGCAGCACUGGGACCAAGACUAAUAAAACACCAGCCUCACGGAAGACAGCUUUAUCUUGUUGAUCGGAAGUCUGCCAGCCCAAUUUAUGAUGGAACAUAAGAUCUCUAAAUCUGAAUUUACGCUCUGUAGCGUAACGAGAGGUCAAUAAGAUUAAACGGGGGCUCAGGAGAGGACCAGCGUCAGGCUCACUGCGAGGUGCUGCACAGAAAACCCACAGCCAGAGCCCCUGGGCCCAGCCCAGGCAAGACCAGAAAAGGAGGGGGCAGGUGGGAGACCAGCCUGGGGCUCCCGGGAAGCCCACGGGAUGGAGGCGGGAGAGCCAGGAGGCCUGGGGCAACCCUGGGACGGUUCCUGGAUCGAGGAGAGCAGGGGGGUGAUGAGGGUUCCCUCAGGGCUGGGGAGCCUUCUCCUGGUCUCAGACCCACCCCCCUUCAGCUCCCAAGCCCUGGGUGCCCCUGGCUCUGAGGACAGUUGGGAAUCUUCCCUGAGGCAGGUUCAAGGACAGAGCUCUGACCCUGGCCCAGGGCUGCUUUGGGUGCCUAUGAACUCGGCUUCUGGCUCAGAGCAGUUCCCUGCACCCCUUCCUGAGCCCUCUGUCCUCUGGAACCCGUGGGCAGGGUGAGGGACGGGUGUUCCUUCUGGGUGGGGGCCUGGGCGCCCAGCCAGCACGACGCUGGCUUGCUGAGCUUAGGGCAGACCCCGACUUCAGAAUUUAUACAAAUAAAUGCAAUGAAAAGUGCUGGCAA
RNAcentral lists this long non-coding RNA (1389 nucleotides) under Homo sapiens (human). Its description in RNAcentral is "long intergenic non-protein coding RNA 2593". The record is from RNAcentral. Lineage: Eukaryota; Metazoa; Chordata; Mammalia; Primates; Hominidae.